GAAAAACAUGACUUGGUGCAGAAACCCUUGCUAGGCCACUCCAUGACCUUAAUGUGCUUCUUCUUGAGCCACUCCUUUGUUGCCUUGGCAGUAUGUUUCGGGUCAUUCUCAUGCUGGAAGACCCAUCCAUGACCUAUCUUCAGUGUUCUGGCUGAGCGAAGGAGGUUCUCGUCCAAGAUUUUACAGUACAUUUUAUAUAAUGUGUUUUUUGAAUUUUUUGGUUGGUAUUCUGUCUCUAUCUGUCAAAAUAAACCUACAAUUACAGACCCUUCAUUUCUUUGUACAAAAUCAGCAGGGGAUCAAAUAAAUAUUUUCCUACUGUAAAAAUACCACAUACAGAUUUAAUAAUGAAUAAAGAAGUCAAAUAAAUUAUCUUUCCAUGAUGCACUUUUAUUAAAAGACACAGAUCAAGAUGGAUUUUGGGGGCUUUGUCCUGCUCCCCAUUCAGACCGUGUUUCAGGGAUUGCGGUGGUUGUUACACUGCUGGGCUUCACAUUGGGUUGUUCUACUGCACUCAAGACGGGACCUCCAUCUACUUUAGGUACACAAGAAGAUGCUGAGAUCUCUGGUGAUGGUGCUACUAGUCCUUCUAAAGACUCAUUUGUAAAGGUUUGUGAAUUGUUUGGUACUGUGGGCACAUCUGUCAAUGAUUGUGUGUGUCCAAAAGCUAAGACAUUAGUCUUCAUAUCUGAUAGAUUAUUAGAAACUGGAGGUAUCUGUGGGCUCUCAAGCAUUGGUGUUGUUGCUGUGAUGGCACACCUCCUUGUGCUGCAGCUUCAGCUUUUGCUAAUUCUGCAGCUUUGCUCUCCAUCUCCUGCAUUCGCUUCUGCACCAUCGCGGGCAUCAGCUGCACAUACGUGCCCAUUAAACGGUGAUUGGUCCUUAUUAAUUUGCCAGCACAACUGUCAGCACAUCGCUCCUGGUAAAACAACACAAACACAUUUUUAUUUAUUUUUUUUGCAAUGCAUGCAACAUCUUCAUGAAUUCAAGACUUUCUGCUCUGAUUUAAAACGUUUUAAGGCCUUAAAUAGUUGAAGACAGAAUUAAGACAUUUUAUGACCUGCAG
Cyprinus carpio carpio is the source of this 1066-nucleotide long non-coding RNA. The record is from Ensembl. NCBI's taxonomy places the organism in Eukaryota, Metazoa, Chordata, Actinopteri, Cypriniformes, Cyprinidae.